AGGACGAACGCUGGCGGCGUGCUUAACACAUGCAAGUCGAGCGAGGCCCUUCCUUCGGGAAGGUGUCCUAGCGGCGAACGGGUGAGUAACACGUGGGCAACCUGCCCUCAGCUCUGGGAUAACUCCGGGAAACCGGGGCUAAUACCGGAUACGACCUCUAAGGGCAUCCGAAGAGGUGGAAAGUUUUUCGGCUGAGGAUGGGCCCGCGGCCUAUCAGCUUGUUGGUGGGGUGACGGCCUACCAAGGCGACGACGGGUAGCCGGCCUGAGAGGGUGACCGGCCACACUGGGACUGAGACACGGCCCAGACUCCUACGGGAGGCAGCAGUGGGGAAUAUUGCGCAAUGGGCGAAAGCCUGACGCAGCGACGCCGCGUGAGGGACGAAGGCCUUCGGGUUGUAAACCUCUUUCAGCAGGGACGAAGCGAAAGUGACGGUACCUGCAGAAGAAGCACCGGCCAACUACGUGCCAGCAGCUGC
Molecule: ribosomal RNA, 478 nt
Filed under: uncultured bacterium
Lineage: Bacteria
Description: SSU rRNA
Rfam family: Bacterial small subunit ribosomal RNA
Source: RNAcentral